CGCAACAAAUUGGGCCAAAAGAUCCAUUAUUUUCACUGCUCUUCUCUCCGAUCUCUGUUGAUUCUCAAGAAGAAAGGCUAAAAAAAUUGGAAGCUUUGGUUUGGUUUGUUGUGCAGGUGAAGUUAGAUCCUUCGAGGCCGUUGAGCAGGAAUAAGCACUGGGUUGUUGCUGAGAUCAUCAAGAAAGCUCGCAUCUAUUCUCCUCAAGCCGCUGCUAUUGCUGCUUCUGCAUCAACUUCCUCGGCCUCCAUUGCGGACUCUACUGCUCCAUCCUCUACCUCUUAAGUUUUGUUAGGAGUCUGCAUGCAUCGAGAAGGGAGAUGUGUCGCUUGGAUACUGGAUUUCAUGAAAUGCUAACGAAGAUGGCUUUGUUCCGAUCAACAUAUUCGAUCAAACUUGAUGUUUCAGGAUGGUGUUUGUUUUUCCUGGGAUAAUGUAGUGAAAAUGUUAUGAAUAGGAGUAUUAGUAAACUCUCAGUUGGUGGUGAGCUUUUGAUGUCCUGUUACGUCAUUUUCGUAACAUAUGUGCAUGAAUGAAACAAUGAGUGAACCUUCUUGAUGAUGGAGAAUGCUUCUUUGUUAUACAAAAAUCAGCUUUUUCACUCUCAGAUAUUGGUAUAUCUAUAUCAACUGUCAUCAAUACAAAAAUUGAGUUCUAUUGACAUUUUUGUUUCUUGCUACCUAUCUAUUUUGUUUAGUCGUCUUUGUCAUCUAAUCUUUUUUUAGAUCAGAGAGAUGGAAGUAGCCAGAGGUUGAAGAGAGAAGAAGAAAGAGACAAGAACCAAGUCAAGAAAGCUAAUGUGGCUGCAAACUGGUAUCUGUUGCAUAUCGUUGGAGGGCAAACUGAUUCGUCUGAUCGCAAAAGAUCCACAACACUGGCUGCUGAUGAAGCUGAAGCCAACGCUAGAACAGACACCACCUUCAAACACACAAAAAAUAGUCAAAGAUCAUAUCAAAAUAUUGGAGGUUCCUUUCUCAGUAAGCGUUAGAAAAUGUAACUGCGUUACCCAAUCACCAAUUGAGAUGGCGAGAAGGAUUCGUGGCUUUUGAAAUGGUUGGUUGAGAAGAACGCAAUAGAUAUCCACCAUUGCUAGUGUCAAGUUCCAUGGUAUAGCCAAAGCCAUGAUCGUCACCAAGUAGCUGAAGAUUAAAGUUAUUAGGGUUCGUUCAUGAUAUGUAAUCUGGAGUUGGGAUCUAUAUACAUUACCAGAAAGCUGUGAACUGGUAGAAACGAACACCGAUGGUCAUGAAGAGAAGAGCGCCAAAUGCUAACAAUGUUUGACCUAAUCUCAAGGAAAGGCUUGCACUUGUGCCAACAGAGCCAGGAACCUCCACCAUCACCAGCUUUGCUUGAGUAGCACGUAAGUUAGCACUUAUCUAAGAAGAAGAUUAAAGCUUUUGAGAUGGAGUUUUUUCUAUUAGAUCAUCUGGGUUUUUAAUGUUUUCUAGUGGAAUCAAAGAUAUGAAGAUCAUGAUCAUGACGAAGAAGAAGGGAGGAUUAAAAGAAGGACAAGUUGAUGAGAGUUUCUGGUUCGCACGUUUGUUUGUAAGAGUUACGAAUGGUGGAAAAGAGAAGACUGUUCAUGUUGAGGAGAGUUGUGGUCUGUAUUCAUCAGACAAAGCUGAGCAAAUGUCGGAGCAAACACUAUUAUUCCUUUCUUCCUUCAUUUCCCAACCCCUCCCUUUAUUUUAUUCUUUUCUUGAUGUUCCAUUUAAUACAAAAAGUUGACUGGUUUUAGGAAUUAGAAGACAUUUCAGAGUAUCAUUACCG
This is a long non-coding RNA of Brassica rapa (field mustard), 1769 nucleotides long. RefSeq lists it as uncharacterized. NCBI's taxonomy places the organism in Eukaryota, Viridiplantae, Streptophyta, Magnoliopsida, Brassicales, Brassicaceae. The record is from RefSeq and is a predicted model, not a curated record.